AGAGUUUGAUCCUGGCUCAGAGUGAACGCUGGCGGUGCGCCUAAAACAUGCAAGUCGAGUGGGUUUAGACCCACGGCAAACGGCUGCGUAACACAUGGGUACCUGCCCCGAACUCAGGGAUAUCCCGCCGAAAGGCGGUGUAAUACCGGAUAGUCCCGCAAGGGUAAAGAUUUAUCGGUUCGGGAGGGGCCUGUGGCCUAUCAGCUUGUUGGUAAGGUAAAAGCUUACCAAGGCUAUGACGGGUAGCUGAUCUGAGAGGGUGAUCAGCCAGAAUGGGACUGAGACACGGCCCAUACUCCUACGGGAGGCAGCAGUUGGGAAUCUUCCGCAAUGGGCGAAAGCCUGACGGAGCGACACCGCGUGAAGGAUGAAGCCCUUACGGGUGUAAACUUCUGUUCUGAGGGAAGAAAUUAUUGACGGUACCUCAGGAGAAAGCACCGGCUAAUUCUGUGCCAGCAGCCGCGGUAAGACAGAAGGUGCAAGCGUUACUCGGAAUUACUGGGCGUAAAGCGUCUGUAGGUGUUUUGUCAUGUCCGACCUUAAAUUUCGGGGCUCAACCCCGUGCCUGGGUUAGAAACGGGCAAAAUAGAGUCAUUCAGAGGCAUCUGGAAUGUCGUGUGUAGGGGUAAAAUCCGUAGAUACACGAUGGAACGCCAAAAGCGAAGGCAGGAUGCUGGGAAUGUACUGACACUCAGAGACGAAAGCGUGGGGAGCAAAGGGGAUUAGAUACCCCCGUAGUCCACGCCCUAAACGAUGCGUGCUCGGUGUGGGAACUUCAAUCUGUUCCCGUGCCCCAGCUAACCGGUAAGCACGCCGCCUGGGAACUACGGCCGCAAGGCUAAAACUCAAAGGAAUAGACGGGGACCCACACAAGCGGUGGAGCAUGGGGUUUAAUUCGAUGAUAAGCGAAGCACCUCACCCAGACUUGACAUGGUAGGAAUCCGACCGAAAGGACGGAGUGCCGCAAGGAGCCUACACACAGGCGCUGCACGGUCGUCGUCAGCUCGUGCCUUGAGGUGUACUGUUAAGUCAGCAAACGAGCGCAACCCUGAUCCUAUGUUGUUUUUUCAUAGGAGACUGCCGCCUCCAAGGCGGAGGAAGGUCAGGAUGACGUCAGAUCAGCGUGGCCCUUAUGUCUGGGGCAACACCCGUGCUACAAUGGUCGGUACAAACGGCAGCAAACCCGCGAGGGGGAGCAAAUCCGAGAAAACCGAUCUCAGUCCGGAUUGAAGUCUGCAACUCGACUUCAUGAAGUUGGAAUCGCUAGUAACCGUGAAUCAGCUACGUCACGGUGAAUAUGUUCCUGGGUCUUGUACUCGCCGCCCGUCAACUCAUGGAAGGCAGGGGCGCCCGAAGCACCUUUACUCGCAAGAGGAGGUACCACGGUGAAACUGCUGACUGGGAGUAAGUCGUAACAAGGUA
Molecule: ribosomal RNA, 1422 nt
Filed under: metagenome
Description: bacterial SSU rRNA
Rfam family: Bacterial small subunit ribosomal RNA
Source: RNAcentral